CCUCUAAUAAAGUAUUUAAGUGAUGACGUGACAUUUAAAAAAAAUAAAAUUAAUUAAAUGUGACGCUUCGUUAGAGGUAAUUAUUGAAUCCAGGCCCUCAGGUGGGACUGUCUUUAUAGAUAGUUACAUUUCCAAUUACCUGGUUGACCACCCUCUAGCUGCAGUAGUUUUUUAUAUGUGGCUUACUUUUCUUUUUAACAUUUAAAUCCUUCCCAUUCUUCAGAAAGAUUUUUUUUUUUACUUUUUGCAUUGAAAAAUGUUAACUUUAAAAUUGCACCACUAUAUCGUUUAAUAACCUACCGAACCAGAAACAAUCCUACAUUAGAGAUAAAGUGGUAGGUUUUCAAUAAUACAAUAUGGGUCUUGUUAGAAGAAAAUAAAAAUUAACUAUCAAUUACUGCUAAU
This is a non-coding RNA of Pelobates cultripes (western spadefoot toad), 405 nucleotides long. Lineage: Eukaryota; Metazoa; Chordata; Amphibia; Anura; Pelobatidae. The record is from the annotation of a GenBank genome assembly.